AAAAGUAGUGGAGCUCAGGUACGUCAACCUAGUUGCAGUGGCCAGAGAUGCAUUAAAUUUCUAGAUCCCUGUAUAUAGUUGUUGACAUAUGCACUAGAAGCUAUAAUCACAUAGAAUUCUAUGUAUAUCCUCCCACACCCUGGGUAGCUACUGACUGAAGGGGUCAAGCAAGGGCUAUUUGCUGUCCCCCAAAAAGUACACCUGGCCAGAAGGGCACAAACACGGCUUCUUAAAUCACUCACUUUCUCCUGUUCCCCUCCUGUUUCUGAAAUAUAAGUUUAUGACGUUCUUUCACAAAAGAGUAUAAUCAUUCUUAGACUGUUGACAUGGCUGUGGAAAGCCUUAGGAGAAGUAGAAACAAUUUAGGGAGGGUGGGGAAUGUACUCAUCCCCUCUUCUUUCCAUCCUAGUGCCCCCACCAAAGAGGCUUCUUGUUGCAGCCCUCAGUAUCUGGAUAUGGGCCAGGGAGGAAGGAAGGGAAAGAGCAAUGCUGCUGUGCUUCAAUCCUGGCCUUCCCCUCACAGAAUUCUUUUAGGAAGAGCAAGCUUUUGUAAGUAGAGUGGCAAGUGUUUUUAUCUUUUUUUUUUUCCUGCUCCUCAAAAUGUUGUCUUGUUCCGGCAAUCACUUUUGCCUUCCCUCUUUCCUGAGCCUGUAGUGACAAAGCCCGGCGAUUUGGGAUGAAAUCUGUUGUAACACCAGAGCUUUGAUUACACAUCCUCUGGUUUUGAGUUAUUCUACAGAAUCAGAAAGGCUGGAAGGUGGGCUUCACACUCAGGAUUGUGCUUUGAGAACCAGCUAAUAGACCAGCCGAGGGAAGGUUGAAUUGGCUGUCUUUACUUUUCCCGAUAAGCCCUACUUAAAUGCAGCCUGUAAUUGUAUAAAGGAGAUGAGAAACAUCAAGAGAAAUGACAUACAUGUAGCUCUGGGGUAGCAAGAACUAGACUUCCUCAAUUUGGAUUCCAUUUCCUUCUGCCAUUUGCUUUUAGGCAAUUGAGUGUGGGUAGUGAUGAGAUAUCAAAUCCCUUAGUGUUUCCAUUUUGGGAAAUGAGGCACUAUUUUUUUUUUUAAAAGACAACUUACCCACCUGAGUCCUGAAACAGUUUGUCUCUCCAGUUUUCUGGCCUAUACUCUAGUUAGCUCUGAUCCAAGUUUACAGGACAACAGCCUUGCUUUAAGCCAUGUCCUGUUGUGGGCACGAUAAUAGCAACUGAGCUGUCACAGCCUACCAGCAGGCUGGUAACACCUCCAGGGUCUCUUGGCUAGAGCAGAUUUCUUAGCAGCUGACUAGGACUUCAGUCAUUGGGAAGCCUAUGAGGCCUUUACAUUUUUGGUGUGAGAUGGGGAAGAAACAUAAAAUGCCACUUUACAACUUCAAUAAUAGCCUGUAAUUUAUAUUUACUGUGUGAAUUUUUAGUCCUAUAUUUUAAUAAUUUGUAAAUUGAUCUCUUAUUCCAAGAAUCCUUUGAACUUGUAGAACAUCUGGGAGUCCACUUCCCUGUCCUCUUCCUGAUCCCUGCUUUCUGGACUGUUUAAAUCCUCUUUGGGAUGGAUCAGAGAGUCUAGAGAGGCCACUCAUAGGUCCAGCUGCUGGCCUCCUGACUCUCCAAAGCCUUCACUGGAAUUGGGACAUUUGCUCCAGCCCUAGCUGUGAACAUGACCAGAGACAUUAUUUAUAAUUCAGCCAUUUAAGAUAUACCUGUACUCAAAAAGUCCUGUAUAUUUUUAAAAAGUUUUAUUUUUCAGGUGAACAAAAAUACAUCCUAAUUGGUGGGGCCCCCUGAGGCCUGCACUUCAGCAGAGCCGUUGGGGGGUAGCUACUGUUCUUUUACAUUACCUUGUAGUCUGCAGGGAGGCAUGGAAAAAGUCUGCCCUUCUUUUAUUUCCCUCUUCAGCCUACACAAUGGCUUUCUGAGAGAGGGCUUGGUAAGGUAGAGCAGAAGGGGAGUGAAAGAGUUUCCAAGGCUCUUUUGGUCGGCCCCUCCUUUUUGCAGACAGUGACAUGUGGCUUCUACAGCUGCCCACGGCGGCUUCACAUGUUGGGCACAUACAGCAAUAUGUACAGUGGGAGCCUGCUAGCCGACGAGACAGGGCCUGGUUGGCUGAGGAGCAGUGGUCUGAAUAGCUUUAUUUCCAAGGGUUAGAAAUCAGCUGCAAAAUUGUCCAUCAAGUUUUAAGCCAGGAAGGAGAGAUCUGUGCAGAGGGGGUUACUUUCCUUCAAAGGCUUUGCACCGGGACUACCAGGACCCUUUCUAGGUGUUUGCUUAUAUUAGAAGUUAACGGUGUGCAUUCAUUUAUUCCCUGACGGCCUGAACUUGAAGAAAGAGAUAAGCCUGUUUUGAAAGUGAAGUUUUGGGGGGUGGAGGAUCAGGGAAGGAACCCAUUAGGCUGAGUUUGUGAGGGUAUCUUCACUUUCCCCAUUAAUGUUAAGGUACAAUGAAGUGUUUCUCUGAGGUUUUAAGCAUAAGAAAUAUUUCUCUUCCUAACAGCCCUAGAUUUCCACAUGGUAUGAGACCAUGUUUUGGAAGCUUUUCUGUCUACCUUGUUUUUUCAGUUUUCACUGGGGAAUUCUGAGAUAGCGUGUUCUUUCGUGGAGUAUUUAUAUCCUGUCUUGAAAUGCUGAAUGCAUAGCAUCUACUUGUUUCUACAUGUUUCUUUAAGGAGAGCUGAAAGGUCAGGUCACAAGCUUUAGGACUACCACAGCUAUGUAAAAGGGGUAAUAAUUGUCCUCUCUUUCCUGUCUACAGAGAAUGGAGGUAUUUCUGGAAUUUCAGUUCAGUAACAAAAGGGCCACAGCUAUACUUUUCGUUUUCCAUCUCCCUCAGUGGAAGGAGAAACUGCAGUGGCUUUGCCUGUUUCUCAUGACCAGUACUCACUCAGUGCCUGGCAGUGGGUACUCAGAAUUUGUUGAUCUCUGAGUUGAUCAGCACCCAGUGGGUGCUGGGUGCUGAUGGAAUCAGCCUUAGUGUCAUUGUGGUGUCCCUGUCAUAAUCUACUUGCAUACCCGUAUCCACAGCCCAUAAUCUGGUUCAAGGAGGUGGGUUGCUAAAGAAAACCCCUGCAAAUCAUAGCUGCACUGAUCUCUCUAGCCUCAGUUUUUUUAUUUCCAAGUUGAAGGACUCGGCCUUGGCCUUCCUGUUCUUUCCGGGUGCCGCAAGUCCACAGUGGUAUUCCAUAUGGUGCUUAACGGACACACCAUAGGAUAUGUGAUCCAUUCAUUGUCUCCUAGGUCCCAGCCCUGCAGCCUCAUGUUAAGCUAUAAAAAUAUCUGCUCUGUCGACAGUUUUUUUGGUUACCUCUGUUUUACUUGCUGACAUAGCCUGUGGUUUUCUGCUGCCAGAAAGCCUGUGUUAUGCUUUUUGUCCCCUCCAGUAGCUAACUGAAAAAGCAAACAAACUUCUCUUUACCCCUCACCUAGACUCUACCAGGCUUUCCACCCUAAAUGCAGAAAUACCCAGCAUGGGAGCCACCUGGUCAGUGCUCCUCACUGGAUCCUGUGCCCCAUUC
Molecule: long non-coding RNA, 3503 nt
Filed under: Homo sapiens (human)
Lineage: Eukaryota; Metazoa; Chordata; Mammalia; Primates; Hominidae
Description: non-protein coding lnc-INAFM2-1:1
Source: RNAcentral